AAAACUACUGCCAGAUAAUUAGCUGCAAUUGCUUCAUCCACAGGAGCUCUCUAUCCGGCAUUUGCAGGGCAAGAAGAGCCAGGAGUCUGGAGGAUUUGGUGAGCUGGCAAGAGGAAGACUGUUCUGCUGGUAACAGCAAGUUGCUGCCACUUACAACCCAGAGGCUGAUUUUGCAUGAUAGGGUGGAUGUUUUGUAUUUCUAUCGGGAUAAUAGAAAAGGACUUUUUCUGGGGUAAAGAUGAACCAGCUUGAUUGAGAGAAAAGAUUGGAGAGAGCCAUUAUCAGACAGCUGCAAAAUGAUCUUCGGGUUCAAGAGAUGCCAGAGGGCUCACGUGAAAUAGUCUCCGUAUAUCACUGUCCUGCUGAACAUAUACGUGGCUGGUUGCAGUAAGUCCUUUGAUCCCAUGGAAACUAAAGGAGAGAUUCUCCCUCAACUGAGAGCAGGUGCAUGUUCCAAGGGGCUUAAGGAGAUGGUGCUACUCCCUUUGAAAGUUGUUCUGUUGCUCCCCACCCUUGUCCAGCUCAGUAGUUCCAGCAAUGGCUCCUAGGGGAACUGAAGGCAGGAGAGGGUCUGCAGAAACAUCACUGACUGAGCCUAGAGUUAGACCCUGCCUAAGCUACAAAUACAGCCCUGUCCUCAUAACCAGCUCAUGCCUCUCCUGGCUGACCCCGUGACAAUGCAGACAGUGGAGGUGUGUCCAGCUUUUGCCCCAGCACCUCCCUGUGUAUCUGCAGAGCUGUGUUUGUAACAGUGCAUUCUGGGAAACUCUAGGAAGCUAUCCACUACUGUCUGCGAUAGGAGAGCCCAUGCAAGGGGGGCGGCCUGCCAUGAUACCGUAGGGAAUGAGCCGCGGCCCAGGGAGGGUCAGCUUUGUUGGUGGCUAUCACAAUUUAGGGGCCAAGACUUUCCAAAGACGCUAAUGGUUCUGGCUACUCACCUUGCAAGGGCCUUAUGUUCAGAGACUGAGUGCUUGGGUCCGUCUGAAAUCCAGGCCCCUCUAAGGUGCCUCACGGUGAGCACCUAAAAACAAGUCACUUUUGAAAAAUCUUAGCUUUGAGUUCUAACCACAUCUGCCCCCUCUGCGGGCCCAGCCUAUAGUUCCGAACAAAGCGUGGUUUACCUGCCAGCGCCUCACGGAGAAGUGAAGAUCCACUCCCUAAGGGCAGCUUCUGGGUGCGUCAGUCCUCAGGAGCAGUGGGGCUGGACAACGCUUGGCUCAGCCUGGUUUCCAGGAGAAGAUAAACAACAGGAUCUGUCUUGCUAGGUGGACUUCUGGUUCUGCUGUCAAUCCGCUCAAUCACGUCACCCAACCCACCCACCUGGUCCCUUUUACUGAGUGUGAGGAGUUGGGCCUCCCCUUCCUCAGAGCUGGCUCUACCUUCUCCUAAGCAGCUUUACCCUGAGGAUGCACAUCUGUGGCCCUGCUUAUGGGAAAGGGGGUUAACUCUUUCCCCACCGGCCGAGGGGCAGGCUCUGCGCAGCCCAUCACACUGUCUCAGUAGGCGAUAGACCCCAGCACCACCUGGGGCAAGGCAUGCUGGGAUUUCCUGCUGCACCCAGAACAGAGAGGAUUCAGGAACGUGGUUGCGGGGGGGGGUUCUGUCCAUAUGGGCAAACCCCGGUGGUGAGACCUGCUUACAGCAAGAGGGACACAUAUCAGCCUAGGCUGCUGCCAUGGUUCGCUGCCAUGGUUUCCACCCAAGUAUUAACCAUAUUAUCGGAGGACAUCACCCAUGCCACUAACUGGUUGCAAUUUGUUUACGAGUUCUAGCAGGAACAGGGCCUUGUACUGAUAAGAAGUGCGCCGGAUGGGAAUGUCUGAAGUGAAGAACAUUCAGCAUAGUUGUUAUGGGGAAAAUUAUUGUGCCAGUAACACGCCCAUUUUGCAGCAUUGUAGUAUGCAUGAGGGAGACACUGGGAACCAUUAAAACCCCCUAACAGUAGAGCUUGUUGAAAAUCAGAGUUUCUAGCACGUGGAAGAUUCUGAUAUUUUGAAAUUUCUUUUUGUCCAGAGUCAGGAUGAAAAGUAAAAAUAUCAUGGAAUGGGAAGUUCUGAAACACUUCGAUUCAGAAGUGUCCAAACAUUAUGGUUUGUGGAACCAAACUGAAGUGUUUUGUUUCUACUGGAUUCAACAUUAAUCUGCGUCUUUCUGAGCUGCUGCAGUGCCCUAUGGGAGUUGUUGUUUGGGUGCCUCCUGCCACCUUUCUCCUCUAUGGGCCAGGUUCCUGGCUGGACUGCAUCUCCCAUGAUACAUUAUAAUCAUGUGACUCCCAUGAUGCACUGCAGCAGUUCAACCAGAGGGGAGAUUAUGGUGCAUCGCUAGAGGUACAGUUCAGCUGGGGAGCUUGGCCCACAGAGGCAAAUGGAAGCAUGAGCCUAUAACUCCCACUAGGCACUGUGGCAGCUCAGACUGACAGAUGAAUGUCACACUGAUGCAAAAAGUAAUAUUGUGUUUGCUUGCCUGACAGAGUAUAAAAAAAAUGUCAGCAACACAGAUAUGAUCCCCAUGGAAAAUUUUGAUUUUGCAAAAACUGAAUUUUCUGUCCAAAAAAAAGUAUCAUUGUAAAAUUCUCAACCAGCUCAACUUAACUUACCUUCUGUCCCACCCCACAACUCCCACCAUGAAACUCUGCUGCGCACACUCCUUCUUUGGAGACUUGGCUUUCUGCCCUCCCCCAAACCAAUCAAAUCCUAGCUGGUUUCUGGAAAGAAACACAACAGCUAAGAAUGUCAACUACUUUUAUUCAUCGUUUGUCCAAUAAAAGCACAAAUCCUCUUUGGAAAAAAGGUUCCAAACAUGCACACAAUUUACAUUUUGAAAUAUGUCAGAUCUGUCAGUUUGUCUGUCUACGAAGCAACAACAUCUUUCCGUCGCUAGUGCAGAUGCUGGCAAGAGGCUGUUUAAAGAGCAGUCGUUCAAAUGAGGACAAGGAAAAAGACGCACAAUUGGUACGACUACAGAGUUGCAUUUGAAUUGAAGAGGAGAAAAGAUUUUUGAUAUUGUCAUAAAUAUUCCAUCUCUAACAUAUAGCAAAAUAAUAAUAAUAAAGAAGACAUCCACUUUGUUCUGUCUGAUAUACAGAUAAACAAUAUUGGAGCAUGUAAGACCUCUAUAAAACCUUGGUGAAACUGUGGGCUGGAUUGGAUACUUAUUGCUGAGGGGGAAGUGUCGAGGAGAGAAGUUGGAGCUAUGGAGCUAUCUACUCCAGUUUCAAUAAGACUCGCUAGGAUCAGAGCCUGGGAGCAGUUUGUAAGGGGAUUUCAACCACUGCUUGGACCUUGCUAUGGUAAAUUCUCUGCCCCAUGCUGGUCAGUGGCAGCUACUGGAGAAAAAUGUGACCAAUAAUAGGGAAGUGCAGUUUGGUCUAGUAAUUAAGGCACUCAACUAGAAGUCUAAGAGGCCUGGGUUCUGUUCUUGACUCUGCCAUUGACCUUGUGUAUGACCUCAGGUAAGUCACUUCGCCUCCCAUCCUUCAUCUGUCUUGCCUAUUUCGGUUGUAAGCUCACUGGGACGCGGACUAGCUACGACUGUUAGUAUGUCGAGUGCCUAG
This is a long non-coding RNA of Mauremys reevesii (Reeves's turtle), 3553 nucleotides long. RefSeq lists it as uncharacterized. NCBI's taxonomy places the organism in Eukaryota, Metazoa, Chordata, Testudines, Geoemydidae. The record is from RefSeq and is a predicted model, not a curated record. The transcript has 2 exons.